AAUAUUCCAGCAAUAUGACGGCAGGGGCACACCAGAAAUGGGCUUCACACAUUGUGUACAUGUGAAGAAUCGAACCCGGGCCUUUGGCGUGACGAGCGAACGCUACAACCACUCGGCUACCCCACCGCCCC
Haliotis rubra (blacklip abalone) is the source of this 131-nucleotide long non-coding RNA. RefSeq lists it as uncharacterized. The transcript has 3 exons. The record is from RefSeq and is a predicted model, not a curated record. NCBI's taxonomy places the organism in Eukaryota, Metazoa, Mollusca, Gastropoda, Lepetellida, Haliotidae.